AGAGUUUGAUCAUGGCUCAGAACGAACGCUGGCAGCGUGGAUUAGGCAUGCAAGUCGAACGGGAUCACCCCGGUAGCAAUACUGGGGCGUGAGAGUGGCGGAAGGGCGAGUAAGGCAUGGGCAACCUGCCCCCUGACCGGGGAUAACCCGGCGAAAGCCGGGCUAAUACCGGAUGCGGCCCCGGGAGGCAUCUCCCGGGUGCUAAAGGCGGGGAUCCGCAAGGACCUGCCGUCAGGGGAGGGGCCCGUGUGCCAUCAGCUUGUUGGUGGGGUAACGGCUCACCAAGGCAUACGGCUAGCUGGUCUGAGAGGACGACCAGCCGCACUGGGACUGAGACACUGCCCAGACUCCUACGGGAGGCUGCAGUCGAGGAUCAUUCGCAAUGGGCGGAAGCCUGACGAUGCGACGCUGCGUGGAGGACGAAGGCCUUCGGGUUGUAAACUCCUGUCAUGGGGGAAAAAGGUUCCCGCGGCUAAUACCCGCGGGUCUCGAUGGUACCCCAAGAGGAAGCCACGGCUAACUCUGUGCCAGCAGCCGCGGUAAUACAGAGGUGGCGAGCGUUGUUCGGAUUUACUGGGCGUAAAGGGCGCGUAGGCGGCCUUGUGUGUCGCGUGUGAAAUCCCCGGGCUCAACCCGGGAAGUGCGCGCGAAACUGCGGGGCUCGAGCGGAGGAGGGGAGAGCGGAAUUCAUGGUGUAGCGGUGAAAUGCGUUGAUAUCAUGAGGAACACCGGUGGCGAAGGCGGCUCUCUGGAAUCCUGCUGACGCUGAGGCGCGAAAGCCGGGGGAGCAAACAGGAUUAGAUACCCUGGUAGUCCCGGCCCUAAACGGUGCAUACUUGGCGUGGGGAGUUUCACCCUUCCCGUGCCGGAGCUAACGUGUUAAGUAUGCCGCCUGGGGAGUACGGCCGCAAGGCUAAAACUCAAAGGAAUUGACGG
This 936-nucleotide ribosomal RNA is filed under the name uncultured bacterium. Its description in RNAcentral is "bacterial SSU rRNA". It matches the Rfam family "Bacterial small subunit ribosomal RNA", at positions 8 to 916 of the family's 1533-position model. The record is from RNAcentral.